Long non-coding RNA from Acyrthosiphon pisum (pea aphid), 852 nucleotides. RefSeq lists it as uncharacterized. The transcript has 4 exons. Lineage: Eukaryota; Metazoa; Arthropoda; Insecta; Hemiptera; Aphididae. The record is from RefSeq and is a predicted model, not a curated record.
GUGAAGUUUGAAUCAGUUUGUUGUCUGUAUUUUUCGUUUCACUCAAUGGUUUCACGGUACCGACUACUGAAUAUCAGACGACCGACAAAAUGACAAUAAACAAAAUAUCGGAUAUACCUAUUUAAAUAUAUAAUAUUAAUAUAAUAUUAUCUGCACGGACAAUCAUACUGUAGUUGUAGUGUUGUACUGUUGUAUACAUAUUUUGUACGUCAUAGUUCAUACUACUCACAUACGAAUUUACGCAUAAUUAGUAGAUUCGAAGAAGCCACUGAUAUGCGACAGUGUGUAUAUAGUUUCUUCUUGCAAAUAAAAUUAUAAUAACUUUGCAUUGAACAACACAAUCGACAAGUGCAUAUAUGAAUAACAACGAAUUAUAAUUAUUUGACUCGUCUUGUACCUUGUUUGACAUCGGAACGAGAACUUACGCCACACAGUCAUUAUUGUGUUUUUGUAAUUUUUCACUGAAUAUUCCUGUGCUUCACCUAAAAUGUUGAAGAUUUUCAGCUUCAUAUCCUAUUGGUAUAUGCGUUACUUACUGGUCACCGAAUUGUAUUUAGUAGAAAAAUGGGAAAGGUGUUUGAUACAUACUAUAAUGUUUAUAUUAUUCUUUGGAUUAUGGUACAUGAAUAAAGUAUUCAUUGAAUUUGUUUCAAAUUGUAUAGCAUGAUUAAACUAUAAUAACAUAUUAUGUUAUUAUAAGAUAUUACUGUCAAGUUGUUAAAAUCUUUGAAAAAAUAAUUAAAAGCUGUAUCCAUGAAAAAGAAAAUAUUUUCAACAUUAAUAUUGACUAUGAUACAACAAAAAUAUUGUGGUAAUUUAUAAAAUAAAGAAAACAUUUAUUUUUUUCCAUAA